CGGACGGGCGAGUAACGCGUGAGUAACCUGCCUUACACAAGGGGAUAGCCGUUGGAAACGACGAAUAAUACCCUAUGAAACUAUCACUUCGCAUGAAGCGAUAGUCAAAGUGUUAGCGGUGUAAGAUGGACUUGCGUCUGAUUAGCUAGUUGGUGAGAAAAAGCCCACCAAGGCAACGAUCAGUAGCCGGCUUGAGAGAGUGUACGGCCACAUUGGGACUGAGACACGGCCCAG
This 234-nucleotide ribosomal RNA is filed under the name uncultured Eubacteriales bacterium. Its description in RNAcentral is "uncultured Clostridiales bacterium partial 16S ribosomal RNA". It matches the Rfam family "Bacterial small subunit ribosomal RNA", at positions 99 to 334 of the family's 1533-position model. The record is from RNAcentral. Lineage: Bacteria; Bacillati; Bacillota; Clostridia; Eubacteriales.